GCUUCUCUUGAGAGCGGCGGACGGGUGAGUAAUGCCUAGGAAUCUGCCUGGUAGUGGGGGAUAACGUUCGGAAACGGACGCUAAUACCGCAUACGUCCUACGGGAGAAAGCAGGGGACCUUCGGGCCUUGCGCUAUCAGAUGAGCCUAGGUCGGAUUAGCUAGUUGGUGAGGUAAUGGCUCACCAAGGCGACGAUCCGUAACUGGUCUGAGAGGAUGAUCAGUCACACUGGAACUGAGACACGGUCCAGACUCCUACGGGAGGCAGCAGUGGGGAAUAUUGGACAAUGGGCGAAAGCCUGAUCCAGCCAUGCCGCGUGUGUGAAGAAGGUCUUCGGAUUGUAAAGCACUUUAAGUUGGGAGGAAGGGUACUUACCUAAUACGUGAGUAUUUUGACGUUACCGACAGAAUAAGCACCGGCUAACUCUGUGCCAGCAGCCGCGGUAAUACAGAGGGUGCAAGCGUUAAUCGGAAUUACUGGGCGUAAAGCGCGCGUAGGUGGUUCGUUAAGUUGGAUGUGAAAUCCCCGGGCUCAACCUGGGAACUGCAUCCAAAACUGGCGAGCUAGAGUAUGGUAGAGGGU
Molecule: ribosomal RNA, 581 nt
Filed under: Pseudomonas sp. CH51
Lineage: Bacteria; Pseudomonadati; Pseudomonadota; Gammaproteobacteria; Pseudomonadales; Pseudomonadaceae
Description: bacterial SSU rRNA
Rfam family: Bacterial small subunit ribosomal RNA
Source: RNAcentral